GCCCAGGUGGCGGAACUGGUAUACGCGUACGUCUCAGAAGCGUAUGUCGAAAGACUUGCGAGUUCGAGUCUCGCCCUGGGCACCA
This 85-nucleotide transfer RNA is filed under the name Candidatus Peregrinibacteria bacterium. RNAcentral describes it as "tRNA-Leu". It matches the Rfam family "tRNA". From Rfam's summary of the family: Transfer RNA (tRNA) molecules are approximately 80 nucleotides in length. Their secondary structure includes four short double-helical elements and three loops (D, anti-codon, and T loops). Lineage: Bacteria; Candidatus Peregrinibacteriota. The record is from RNAcentral.